Long non-coding RNA from Anser cygnoides (Swan goose), 649 nucleotides. NCBI's taxonomy places the organism in Eukaryota, Metazoa, Chordata, Aves, Anseriformes, Anatidae. The record is from Ensembl.
GUUUUAUACAUUUGGUCUCUGGAUGGCCUUAUGGCCAGGUCUCUAGGCUCAGCACCUUCUCAGGGUUGUGUGAGAGUCUGGUUACCCUGUUCAGGCUGAAAGCUGGACAGAAUGGAGGAUUCAGUCCUGAUUUACCUGGCUCUUCCCAUGGACUUCUGAAGGCCAACACAACCAUGCUCCUUAUUGAGGCAGCGCUGAAGACUGAUAGAAUUUGUAGUCCCAAAUGUGGGCAAUACUCACAGAAAUAGACUUCCAGCAGGAUCAAGAUGAGGGAAGAUGAAAGCUUUAUUGGGAGCCUCUUGUUUAUCUGUGAAGACCUUGUGCUAUCUCUACUUGUUGUCCUGCACGUAUGGAGUCCCAUUCUGAACUGGAGUCCAUUCAAAUCGCGAAACCCAACAAGCAUUUCCACUGAGAAGGAAGGAAUUUGCUCCACAAAGGCAUGGACACAAGUCAUUUCCCCAGAGGAACAUCAGAAGAAAAGCUUUAAUCUCCCAUCUAACACUCUGCAUAUAAAGUUACAGGUUAUCCUUUGCUUUGCAGAGGUUGCACUGUAAUAAUUGAGUCCUUUAUCUAUAACUGCCUCCGUCCAGGCUCCCUGGACUUUUGCAAUGACAAUAAAAGUUAAUAAAAGCUUUGGAAUAUAUUCUUA